GAUGAACGCUGGCGGCGUGCCUAAUACAUGCCAGUCGAGCGAACAGACGAGGAGCUUGCUCCUCUGACGUUAGCGGCGGACGGGUGAGCAACACGUGGAUAACCUACCUAUAAGACUGGGAUAACUUCGGGAAACCGGAGCUAAUACCGGAUAAUAUAUUGAACCGCAUGGUUCAAUAGUGAAAGACGGUUUUGCUGUCACUUAUAGAUGGAUCCGCGCCGCAUUAGCUAGUUGGUAAGGUAACGGCUUACCAAGGCAACGAUGCGUAGCCGACCUGAGAGGGUGAUCGGCCACACUGGAACUGAGACACGGUCCAGACUCCUACGGGAGGCAGCAGUAGGGAAUCUUCCGCAAUGGGCGAAAGCUUGACGGAGCAACGCCGCGUGAGUGAUGAAGGUCUUCGGAUCGUAAAACUCUGUUAUUAGGGAAGAACAAAUGUGUAAGUAACUAUGCACGUCUUGACGGUACCUAAUCAGAAAGCCACGGCUAACUACGUG
This 497-nucleotide ribosomal RNA is filed under the name uncultured bacterium. RNAcentral describes it as "partial 16S ribosomal RNA". It matches the Rfam family "Bacterial small subunit ribosomal RNA", at positions 28 to 507 of the family's 1533-position model. The record is from RNAcentral.